UUAAGCGACUAAGCGUACACGGUGGAUGCCCUGGCAGUCAGAGGCGAUGAAGGACGUGCUAAUCUGCGAUAAGCGUCGGUAAGGUGAUAUGAACCGUUAUAACCGGCGAUUUCCGAAUGGGGAAACCCAGUGUGUUUCGACACACUAUCAUUAACUGAAUCCAUAGGUUAAUGAGGCGAACCGGGGGAACUGAAACAUCUAAGUACCCCGAGGAAAAGAAAUCAACCGAGAUUCCCCCAGUAGCGGCGAGCGAACGGGGAGCAGCCCAGAGCCUGAAUCAGUGUGUGUGUUAGUGGAAGCGUCUGGAAAGGCGCGCGAUACAGGGUGACAGCCCCGUACACAAAAAUGCACAUGCUGUGAGCUCGAUGAGUAGGGCGGGACACGUGGUAUCCUGUCUGAAUAUGGGGGGACCAUCCUCCAAGGCUAAAUACUCCUGACUGACCGAUAGUGAACCAGUACCGUGAGGGAAAGGCGAAAAGAACCCCGGCGAGGGGAGUGAAAAAGAACCUGAAACCGUGUACGUACAAGCAGUGGGAGCCUCUUUAUGGGGUGACUGCGUACCUUUUGUAUAAUGGGUCAGCGACUUAUAUUCUGUAGCAAGGUUAACCGAAUAGGGGAGCCGAAGGGAAACCGAGUCUUAACUGGGCGUUAAGUUGCAGGGUAUAGACCCGAAACCCGGUGAUCUAGCCAUGGGCAGGUUGAAGGUUGGGUAACACUAACUGGAGGACCGAACCGACUAAUGUUGAAAAAUUAGCGGAUGACUUGUGGCUGGGGGUGAAAGGCCAAUCAAACCGGGAGAUAGCUGGUUCUCCCCGAAAGCUAUUUAGGUAGCGCCUCGUGAAUUCAUCUCCGGGGGUAGAGCACUGUUUCGGCAAGGGGGUCAUCCCGACUUACCAACCCGAUGCAAACUGCGAAUACCGGAGAAUGUUAUCACGGGAGACACACGGCGGGUGCUAACGUCCGUCGUGAAGAGGGAAACAACCCAGACCGCCAGCUAAGGUCCCAAAGUCAUGGUUAAGUGGGAAACGAUGUGGGAAGGCCCAGACAGCCAGGAUGUUGGCUUAGAAGCAGCCAUCAUUUAAAGAAAGCGUAAUAGCUCACUGGUCGAGUCGGCCUGCGCGGAAGAUGUAACGGGGCUAAACCAUGCACCGAAGCUGCGGCAGCGACGCUUAUGCGUUGUUGGGUAGGGGAGCGUUCUGUAAGCCUGUGAAGGUGUGCUGUGAGGCAUGCUGGAGGUAUCAGAAGUGCGAAUGCUGACAUAAGUAACGAUAAAGCGGGUGAAAAGCCCGCUCGCCGGAAGACCAAGGGUUCCUGUCCAACGUUAAUCGGGGCAGGGUGAGUCGACCCCUAAGGCGAGGCCGAAAGGCGUAGUCGAUGGGAAACAGGUUAAUAUUCCUGUACUUGGUGUUACUGCGAAGGGGGGACGGAGAAGGCUAUGUUGACCGGGCGACGGUUGUCCCGGUUUAAGCGUGUAGGCUGGUUUUCCAGGCAAAUCCGGAAAAUCAAGGCUGAGGCGUGAUGACGAGGCACUACGGUGCUGAAGCAACAAAUGCCCUGCUUCCAGGAAAAGCCUCUAAGCAUCAGGUAACAUCAAAUCGUACCCCAAACCGACACAGGUGGUCAGGUAGAGAAUACCAAGGCGCUUGAGAGAACUCGGGUGAAGGAACUAGGCAAAAUGGUGCCGUAACUUCGGGAGAAGGCACGCUGAUAUGUAGGUGAAGCGACUUGCUCGUGGAGCUGAAAUCAGUCGAAGAUACCAGCUGGCUGCAACUGUUUAUUAAAAACACAGCACUGUGCAAACACGAAAGUGGACGUAUACGGUGUGACGCCUGCCCGGUGCCGGAAGGUUAAUUGAUGGGGUCAGCGCAAGCGAAGCUCUUGAUCGAAGCCCCGGUAAACGGCGGCCGUAACUAUAACGGUCCUAAGGUAGCGAAAUUCCUUGUCGGGUAAGUUCCGACCUGCACGAAUGGCGUAAUGAUGGCCAGGCUGUCUCCACCCGAGACUCAGUGAAAUUGAACUCGCUGUGAAGAUGCAGUGUACCCGCGGCAAGACGGAAAGACCCCGUGAACCUUUACUAUAGCUUGACACUGAACAUUGAGCCUUGAUGUGUAGGAUAGGUGGGAGGCUUUGAAGUGUGGACGCCAGUCUGCAUGGAGCCGACCUUGAAAUACCACCCUUUAAUGUUUGAUGUUCUAACGUUGACCCGUAAUCCGGGUUGCGGACAGUGUCUGGUGGGUAGUUUGACUGGGGCGGUCUCCUCCUAAAGAGUAACGGAGGAGCACGAAGGUUGGCUAAUCCUGGUCGGACAUCAGGAGGUUAGUGCAAUGGCAUAAGCCAGCUUGACUGCGAGCGUGACGGCGCGAGCAGGUGCGAAAGCAGGUCAUAGUGAUCCGGUGGUUCUGAAUGGAAGGGCCAUCGCUCAACGGAUAAAAGGUACUCCGGGGAUAACAGGCUGAUACCGCCCAAGAGUUCAUAUCGACGGCGGUGUUUGGCACCUCGAUGUCGGCUCAUCACAUCCUGGGGCUGAAGUAGGUCCCAAGGGUAUGGCUGUUCGCCAUUUAAAGUGGUACGCGAGCUGGGUUUAGAACGUCGUGAGACAGUUCGGUCCCUAUCUGCCGUGGGCGCUGGAGAACUGAGGGGGGCUGCUCCUAGUACGAGAGGACCGGAGUGGACGCAUCACUGGUGUUCGGGUUGUCAUGCCAAUGGCACUGCCCGGUAGCUAAAUGCGGAAGAGAUAAGUGCUGAAAGCAUCUAAGCACGAAACUUGCCCCGAGAUGAGUUCUCCCUGACUCCUUGAGAGUCCUGAAGGAACGUUGAAGACGACGACGUUGAUAGGCCGGGUGUGUAAGCGCAGCGAUGCGUUGAGCUAACCGGUACUAAUGAACCGUGAGGCUUAACCUU
RNAcentral lists this ribosomal RNA (2901 nucleotides) under Escherichia coli. Its description in RNAcentral is "23S ribosomal RNA". It matches the Rfam family "Bacterial large subunit ribosomal RNA". The record is from RNAcentral. Lineage: Bacteria; Pseudomonadati; Pseudomonadota; Gammaproteobacteria; Enterobacterales; Enterobacteriaceae.